Molecule: unclassified non-coding RNA, 155 nt
Filed under: uncultured Amphinema
Lineage: Eukaryota; Fungi; Basidiomycota; Agaricomycetes; Atheliales; Atheliaceae
Description: sequence contains ITS1
Source: RNAcentral
UCGAAAAUAAAGGGUUGUCUGCUGGCCUCUCGGGGCGCGUGCACGCCCAAAUCCACAACACACCUGUGAACCCACCGUAGGCCCUCGGGCUUAUGUAUUAUCAUAUACUCUGAUCAUAGAAUGUAAAUAUUUUGCCUUAAAAACGCAAUGAAAUA